UUUUAUGGAGAGUUUGAUCCUGGCUCAGGAUGAACGCUGGCGGCGUGCCUAAUACAUGCAAGUCGAGCGAACGGACGAGAAGCUUGCUUCUCUGAUGUUAGCGGCGGACGGGUGAGUAACACGUGGAUAACCUACCUAUAAGACUGGGAUAACUUCGKGAAACCGGAKCUAAUACCGGAUAAUAUUUUGAACCGCAUGGUUCAAAAGUGAAAGACGGUCUUGCUGUCACUUAUAGAUGGAUCCGCGCUGCAUUAGCU
This 257-nucleotide ribosomal RNA is filed under the name Staphylococcus aureus. RNAcentral's name for it is "partial 16S ribosomal RNA". It matches the Rfam family "Bacterial small subunit ribosomal RNA", at positions 1 to 246 of the family's 1533-position model. The record is from RNAcentral. Lineage: Bacteria; Bacillati; Bacillota; Bacilli; Caryophanales; Staphylococcaceae.